UGACACAGCUGUGCUCCUGUACAAGACGGGACCAGGGAUCAGUCCUCCUGGUUCAACUUGAGGGCAUCAUGGAAGAAAGCCAACCUCUCUCAGGCCUAACUCUGAGAGGCCACAUGUCUGGGUCUUCCGUGUGUGUGUGUGUGUGUGUGUGUGUGUGUGUCUGUCUGUCUGUCUGUCUGUCUGUCUGUCUGUGUAAGAGUGUGACCCAGAACAGCCCUCCUGAACUCUGAGGCUUCCAGUGCUCACCCACUGACCUACAGAGUGUUUGGGGGCUGGAGGAAGUGUCUGAGGCUGUCAGUGCCUUGGGCUUGAUGGGUGGUGGGGAGGAGGAGAUUUGAGCCCCGCUUAAUCCUCACUGUUUUCUGCAGGAAGAACUGGAAGAGCCAGAAGGUCUCAUGGUCGUGCUCCACCAUCAGCUGGAAAAGCAUCACCAUCUCAUGGAAGCCUCGCUGGUACUCUGCAGGGAAGGGCUCCGGCUGAAGAGAGGAGGCUCUUGAAGUACCACACUGCAGAGAGACCUGAGCUGCUGGACAGAAUCCACCCGCGCUGGCCAGAGCUGCCCCCAUCUCUCUCUUAAUACCUGAAUGUGUAGACACGGGACUCUAAAUGAAAAAUGUAUUGAAAUCACUGGAGGGUCUUCUGGUUCUGAAAGUUUGGGGAAACAGCCUACAGAGACGAGUUCCUAACAGUUUCCUGGAUGGCUGAGGCUGGAGUGAGGAGCCAGGGGUCAGGAAGUAGGGAAACAUUUGACUUUAAAAGCCACAGUGAGCCAUUGACUACAGGCAGGUCAGUUUCCCUAUCUGCAGGUCAGGUGGGCUACGAGCUCCCUUUGUUUGUCAGUGGUGUGUGUGUGUGUGUGUGUGUGUGUGUGAUAUGCGUGUGUGCACAUAUUAUGAGUACACAUGAAGGCCUGAGAUUGAUGCUGGGAAUCACCUUUGAUUGCCUGCUUGACCUUACUCAAUGAGGCAAGGUCUCUCAACCAAACUUAGAGCUCACUGAUAUGGCUAAAUUCCCCUAGUCAGUUUGCCCCUGGCAUCCUCUUAUCUCUGCCUUCUGGGACUGGGAUUAUAGGGGAAUGACCAUACCCACCCAACAUUUCACAUGGGUUCUGGGAUUCAAACUCUGUCGUCAUGUUUACAAGAAAAGAACUUCAGUGCUGAGCCAUCUCCCUAGACCGAACAUCCCUCUUUAAUAACUCACACACGCUUUAUCUGCUGGAUCAACCCUGAGAAACGGGGCACUAGGAGUUACAGGUAACUUUGAGAAGUAAGGUCUCCUUGAUGCUGGCAAUCAGCUCCACGUUUGGGCCUUCACGAAUCGAUGAGGAGGACUGGUCAGCCUGCUUGCCUGAGUCUGGAGAGCAGCUGACUGGAUUUGAAGUCUCCAAGAUCUAUUUCUCACUCAUCAAAUGAUAAUAGCCUGAUCACAUCCCAUCUCAAAGGGCUGGGAUGAGAAGGAGUGACUAUAAACAAAGCAUUUACAAUACCAUCUGUACACAUCGACUGCUGUGUGGCAGCUUAUUCAUUAUUAUUAGUAUUAGCCUUCUCUAAAUUUGGAGAAUGGGAGAAAUAUAGAAAAAAAAUCCAAAGCUUGGUGAUCAUCUGCAAUAAACGUGUAACGUUUAAACCCCAA
This is a long non-coding RNA of Mus musculus (house mouse), 1632 nucleotides long. RefSeq annotates it as predicted gene, 53527. NCBI's taxonomy places the organism in Eukaryota, Metazoa, Chordata, Mammalia, Rodentia, Muridae. The transcript is spliced from 2 exons. The record is from RefSeq and is a predicted model, not a curated record.